Molecule: non-coding RNA, 5431 nt
Organism: Chrysemys picta bellii (western painted turtle)
Lineage: Eukaryota; Metazoa; Chordata; Testudines; Emydidae
Source: RefSeq, a predicted model, not a curated record
AUACACCAUCCUGGUCUUGCGUCUGAUGAAGUGGGCAUUCACCCACGAAAGCUUAUGCUCCAAUACUUCUGUUAGUCUUAAAGGUGCCACAGGACCCUCUGUUGCUUUUUACAGAUUCAGACUAACACGGCUACCUCUCUGUUACUUGACCAUCCUGGUUAUUACUCAGUCUCUUCCCAUCCCUUUCUAAAUAGAUGGUUUUUAGCCUUGCAGAGCUGGAAAGUCAUGUAGGCCUGGGCCACACUACACAGUUAGGUUGACAUAAGCUGCCUUGUGUUGACCUAAUUGCUCAUGUGGCUACACUUAAAUUUGUCUCCCACUGAUGUAAGUGCCCCGUUAGAGGAACACAGUAACACCACCUCACCAAGCAGCAUUGAGCCAUGGUCGAUGUACUGAGGUCAAGGCAGCAUGAGUGUAGACAUUGCAUUACUGUAUUGUCCCCAACAGUCCUCCAGCAGCUGUCUCAAAAUGCCAAGCACUGAUGGCUCUUGUCAACGAUCUGAACUCCACUGCUCAGAGAUCACAGAGGAAGGAAGCUCCUUCCCCCCCACCACACACACACACACAUUUUAAAACCCUGGGAAUUUUUGAAAUGCCUUUUCCUGAUUGCCCAGCUAUCCAUUCUCCACUAUUCCAUUUCCACUGUUGUGUGUAACUGCCCAGGUGACUAUGCUGGCCACACUCUCCAGCCUGGGUCUCCUGGGCCGGUGGGGAGAAAAGGCUGUGCAUUCACAGCUACAGACCUGCUGUAGAAACAUGGACAUCUGUGAGCAGGUUGCUUGUGAAUGCAGGAGAAGUGAUACGACAGGGAUCAGCAGCAGUGCUGCUGCUGCGAGCAAAGGCACUGUGGCAGGCAUGUCCCAGGGAGGCCAACAGUUGAUCUGGUGCUGAGCCACAGAUCUGCCUUUUUUACAAAUGGCUGCAUGCCAUAAUUGGUGGAAACCCCACCACCACACUGCAGACAACUAUGGAUCCCUCUGAGGAACCCAAGUCACAGGCCCCUGCUGUGAACAGCGAGGAGGAAGAGGAGGAAGAUGGGGGACAUCGAUCAGGGGGUUCAGCUAUGCUGCGAGCCAGGAGCUGCUUGAGACUCCACCACAGUCCAUUCAGUCCCAGCAGUCGAGCCUGGGCGAGCCUGAUACAGGGGAAGGAACCUCGGCUGCUGCCAUUGUGGCCUUCAGGCAUUCCCCUCCUUACCUGUGGAACACCUGAUCUAGAUAAGGAGGACAAGGAAAGAGCAGACAGAAGACAGGCCCAGGAGUCCCCGCAGGAAAAGGAGAGGAAGAUGCACCAGGACAUAAUGGGGCUUCUCUGGCAGCAAACACACAUGCUUCAGACGCUUGUGGACCUUCAGUUUCAACAGUCACAUUCUUGCCUUCCUUUGCGGUCUAUGGAGAACCCCAGUAUAGCACCUUCCUUCACUGCCAUCACCCUUGCACGUGGCAUAAGUGUCUGCAUCCCUACCCCUACCACUCCACACAGGGGACAGUAAGGCCAACCACCACUUCACAUACACUUAUCUGUCAGAGCAGUGGUGAGCAAUCUGCAGCCCACGGUCUGCAGUUUCCCCACCACUGUGUCAGAGCCACAGUUGCCGUUCACAUACACUGAUCUGUCAGAGCCACAGUUGCCGUAUGUGUAGUUAAAAUGGACAUGAAUGUACCUUCCGCUUCUUAAGCUCUGUUCCAUAAAAUUUAAGUGUUUAACAUAUUUGCUCUUAACUUGCAAAGAAUUUUUUUUGCAGUGUUUUUGUUACUCAAGAAAAUUCUAUUGUUUGGAAAAUCUUUAUUAGUUCCCAACAUAUGCUGCAGAAUGUCUAGCGGUACUGAAAACACCCACUUACUUGUUAUUAUAUGGCGUGACACAGCUCACAGGAUCAGUGGAAAAAACACAGCGUCAUGAUCAUAAAUGUAUAGCAAGCACCACAAAAUUAAUAGGUGCAUUGACAGUGUUAUAUUCAUUCAUGUACAUCAAGCACCAUACAAUACCUAACAGGCCCCAAAAUAGCAGGGCCAGGUAGAGCACAGGACACCACAAUGCAUUAAGGUGGCUCACUGUUAAAGUGCUUUUUCAUAGCCUCCCUGAGCCAUAUAACUCUGUGUUGAGCUCUUCUGAUAGCUCUUGUGUCUGGCUGCUCAAACCCAGCAGACAGCUGCUCUAUAUCCAACCUCCACCCUGGUGGCCACUUUUCCCCAUUUGCAUCAGAGAUACUAUGCAAGACACAGCAGACAGAUAUAACUGUUGGGAUGCUUUUUCUUGCUGACAUCCAAUCUUGUAAGUAAACAACACCAGCAUCCCUUCAAUCUACCGAAAACACAUUCAACACUCAUUCUGCACCUGCUGAGUCGGUAGCUGAAUCUCUCUUUGGUGCUGUUGAGGUGGCCAGUGUACGGCUUCAUGGCUCAGGAAAGCAAGAGGUAGGCUGGGUCCCCCAGAAUCACUACUGACAUUUCAACAUCGCCAAUGGUAAUCCACCAGUUGGGAAAGAAAGUCCCUGCUUGUAGCUUUGUGAGCAGUCCUGUGUAUUUAAAGAUGCAAGCAUUGUGCACCUUCCCUGACAAGCCAAGAUUGAUGUUGGUGAAGUGUUCCCGGUGAUCCACCAAUGCUCACAUAACCAUGGAAAAGUAGCCCUUUCUGUUGAUGUACUGUGUGCACAUUGCCGACAGUCACAGUCCUUCAUAGCAAAAGACGAUUAAUGGCGCUGCACAUUUAUAUGACAGUGGCCCCACCGUGGAUUUUUGAAUGCCAAAGUGAUUUCCCCACAGACUGGUAUCAAUCCAAUGUUGCAGACUUGCACAGUGUGAUUUCCACUCGCUUCUCCACUGUCAGUGCAGCUCUCAUUCCGGUGUCCUUGUGCUGGACGGCUGGGGCAAGCUUGGCACACUGAUCCAGGAACGCAGCCUUACACAUCCAAAAGUUCUGAAGCCACUGCUCAUCAUCCCAAACCUGCAUGACGAUGCAAUCCCACAAGUCAAUGCCCAUUUCUCAGGCCCAGAAGAAGCUCUCCACCGUCUGCAGCUGCUUAGUGCACACCACUAACAACCUUGAAUUGGAUCUUGCUAUGUCCCGCAGCAAACUGUCCUCCAAUAAAUCAUCAUGUUUCUCCCAGGUUUGGUUCUUUGUGCAGCUCUGCAAAUACUGCAGGAUUGUGCAUCCUGUGCUUGCAAUGCUCAAAACACCAGUGCAGAGCUAUGCAGGCUUCUGUCAAAGAUGGCAGACAGGGAGGAGGGCCACGCAAGUAUGUGGGAUUUUUAAAAAUGGUGCAAAAAUGGCAUUAUGGGAUGUACAAAGUUGCAUGCUAGGAAGUUGACCCCUUACUCCCAGUCAUCCCUGUGUGACUUGUUCCUGCCCCACCAUGCAUUGCCAAAACUUCCCAAAAGACAGUGUGCUAGAUGGUGGUAAGUUAUACACUGGGAUACUUAUCCACAUUGCACCAUGGUGAGUACGCGCAGCGCUGACACACGGAGACAAUAUGCAUACCCACAAGCCAUAUACCAGCUGCGAUGGUUUUAUGCCAUUGGAACUUGCGUCGGCAAAAGUUUGUCGCAUAGACAUGCCCUUAAGAUAUGUCUACACUGCAAUCAAAGCUGUGACUACAGCACAUGUAGACAUAGAUUUGAUCUAGCUGGCUUGAAUAACAAUAGCAGUGAAGCUGAGGCAUUUUAAGUUGACUAGCUGCUCAAGAACAUACCCAGGAUCCCAGGACAGUUGCCAUGCAUGCUGCUGGGGCUUUACGACUAUCAUUAUUACAGCGACCUAGAUCAAAGCUAGCUUGGGUAUGUCUUCACAGGCAGCAACCACACUUCUGAUUGCAGUGUACAUGUCCCCUUAGCUUUCAAAUGGGGUGGAAGAGCAUGACAGUAUCAUUGUGGUGUGUCAUCCUGACACUGAGUUACACUCAUGGCGUGCUGUUGAACUAGAGAGACUCACGCAUCACAAUUUAUGCAAUAUCACCUGGAAAACAUGACAGUGUCAAAUAUUGCACCUUUGCCAAAGACCUGCCUGUGGGGUCCAAAAGAGAUACCUGUGGCUCCACAGCCAUAGUUUAAGUAUCACUGACAUACCACAGACAAAUAGCAUAUAUCCACAAUACAGUACAGUAUAUAAUGAAUAUGUGAUAAUGGGCUAUUAAGUAUUGUAAGGCUCUGGAAGCAAUGCUCAUGAGAAGCCAUUCCUAUUUUAGAGGAAACCUCUUGGAGGAUAAGGGCACUUACACGAUGCAGGCAGAAGUAUUUUCUAAUUUUCCUGUAUGUGUCAUGCUAGAUCAAACACACCCCUAUUAUCAUCAUUCAGCACAGAUUCAUAGUGCAUGGAGCAUAAGGAAUUGGGAACCUUUAGGGGAAGAAGGAAAAGGGAGGGAUCCCCACUAGAGAGGCAAAGGCUGGUUGAUCAAGUUAUCAGGACACUAGCCUUGGAUUUGGGAGACAUCUAUUCAACUUCCAGCUCAGACACAGAUUUCCUGUGUGACUGUGAGCAGGUCACUAAGUCUCUCUAUGCUGCCAGUCCCUAUCUGUAAAAUGGGGACAAUAGUACUUCCCUAUCUCACAGGGAUGUUGCCAGGAUAAAUACUAUGAAGAUUGCGGAGUGCUAGACAUAACGGGAAGGGGGGCAUAUCAAUACCUAUAAAGGAAAGAUACCAGGGAUACAGUCCUGGCUCUAUUAAAUUCAAUGGCAAAACUCCCACACACUUUAAUGAAGGCAGAAGUUUACCCCAGGAGCAGGGAUUGGGGAAAUUACAUGGAGGAUCUGAUGUAUUCUCCUAUCUGGGCCUAUUUAUAUAUACACCCCUCUUACCUGUUUUCUCUUUCCAACCCCCAUGAUGAUGGUCUAGACUUGCCCCACUCAUUGUCCUGUCAUAUCCUGUCAUUCACUUUAAUCAGUGAGAGGUUUUUCUCCUGGGUGGACGUAUAGAGAAAUAAGCAUGCAGAGAUGACUCACGUGUGAUGGAUAUGCAGAAUGACAGCUGAAACUAGUCCAGAUUUCCUGAAAAGAUGCUGAAUUCAUGUGUUCCAGACUAUGGCCUUGUCGGACAACAUUUGCAUUGUGAAAGGCUGGUAUGAUUGGUUUAGCUGCCACUACUGUAGCUAGGAAAGAAAGAAUAGAGAAGGAAAAGAGACAGCCACAGAAAGGGAGGGUGUUAAGAAAAAAAAAGUAGGUGUUAAGAAAAAAAAACCAAGGGGGUAUGAGGAUGACACUGAAACAGAUUAUGAAAAAUAGACUGCAGGAAUCAGACAAGUGAUGGAGACAUUAAAACUCACAUAGAAAAGCCAGGGAUAAAGAAAGAUUGAUUCAGAAAGAAAGAAAAGCAAAACAAAAAACAGGAGAUGAAUUCAGAAAGAAUGAUGGAAAACUACAAUGAACCCCAAGGUCCCGUAACAGAAGAAAACGAAACAAGUGCAGAUAAGAGCCAGACAGAAAAAAAAGAGUGGGA